GUGACCGCUUGUUGACACUGGUGAACCUGCUGCCUUCUCUAAGCUUUAUCCUUCUGGGGAAUAUGAGUAAUUACACCAUUUUACCGACUCCAUCAAGCUUUGAGCAUCACACAUGGAAGAUGCAUAGAACAAUGUUCAGCCUCUCAGAAGCAGCUGAUACCUCUCUUUUGUUGAGAGUGCGUUAUUCAUACUGCAGUCACGAGCUGAUUCACGCUAAGACUUUGUACUUAGCGUUGACAUCCCAUCAGUCAUCUUUAGACAUGUUUGCUACUGUAAAACUGACUACGUUUAGGAAUGGACGCUAGGAGGGGAUGGAGCAGGGCAACUGGAAAAAUACAGGUGCAUGGUCGAGGAAAAAAAAAAAAUGGUCCAUUUGACUUCUACCACGACUGGACCAUUUGACUUGGGUUAGAAAUUUUAGGACUUUGAAGCGGAAGCACUUUGAAGCUUAGCAGCCACUGUAUCACCGGCAGCACUGUAUUUUUUCCCCGCUUUCAUGGUAGCUGCUUUGAGCAUUUAGUCCAUGGAACCCGUGACAAGUCUCUGAUGCUGAAAUUGGUCUUGGCUUAAAGGCUGGCCAUUUACUCAUUUCACUAUGGUUUUUAUAAGUAAAUCAGAUUUCUCAGUUUUAUAUUUUCCAGCAGGUUUUAUGAAGACUAGGUAUUUUUUCACUCUUGGGGAACUAUUUGUGAUAUGUUUUUCACUGUAAGGUUUUUUUUUUUCUGUUUUUUCCUUUAUAGAGAGAAAUAUGGAGUGGGAAAAAAUGUAAUAAGAGAUUCUUGGUACUUGAGUGGGUCUUAGAUGACUUUGAACUUAGUGUGUAGGUGUGUCUUGACCCACAUAAAAAUCUACAAAGAAAGGAUGACAUCUUGCGAGGCAGUUCAGAGAUAAUUGUGAAUGUUGCUUCCAUUCGAGGAGUGUUUCUCCUUUGGAGACAUGCAGUACAUGGGGCCCUGGGACUGAAUUAUAAGCUUUUGAAACUAGUAUUUGAUGGGCUCUGGACUGUGCUGUGAAAAAGAGGAAAAUUAGAAAGCUUAUGAAAACUAAUGUUAGAGUUUUGUCUUGUUUGUUUUUUGCUAUUUGUUGUAGAUACGCUCCAUUCUAAGAGUAAAUUAUUUGAACUUUGGAUGGAUUCCAUCCCAAGAGUCUUUUAUUUUCACUAGUGGGGACAUAAUUUGGGGUCAUAUAUAUAGGAAACACAGGGAAAAAAUAAUUCUUCUGUAUUUAGAGAACUGUAAAUUACAAGGUCACCUAAAGCUUGGUUUGCGGACUGGUCUUAUUUGUUGGUUAAUAAGGACAGUGAUUUUUUGAAGCAUGGGGAAGCUGCUGAGCUCUUCUGUGUCGGGUUUAUUUGCCAGCUGCGGGCCAGGGGAUCCCAAAGACCCUGCAUCCUGAUCUUGGUCCCACGCCCUGGCCCUGUGCUGAACUGUCCUUGGUAUUUCUCUGUUUCCCACACCGUUUAGAAUAAUUUAGGUAGGACCUCCGCUAACACUGCCGAGUAUCUGGUUAUUGCCUUUACGUCGUUUUGAGAAAGUGUGACCUUUUCGUUGGUCUGAAUCCUUCCUCCCGACCCAGGCGCACAGUGAAUUAUCAGGGACUCUCUUCUUCUUGGCACCUUCUGGAUCUUUGUGGUCUAUGUAUCUUUUCAUUAACUCUCACCUCUCUGAGGUACUUUUUGACAGUCUUUUUUUUUUUUUAAGGACUGCAUGUAUGGCAUAUGGAAGUUCCCCGGCUAGGGGUCAAAUUGGAGUUGCAGCUCCCUGCCUACACCACAGCCACAGCAAUGCAGGAUCCUAGCAAUGUCUGUGAUCUACACCACAGCUCACGGCAGUGCCGGAUCCUUAGCCCACUGAGCGAGGCCAGGGAUUGAACCCACAUCCUCAUGGGUACUAAUCAGGUUCAUUACUGCUGAGCCACAAUGGGAAUUCCUAUAGUCAUUUUAUGUAUAAUUGCAAUCUCGAAACACUGUGUUUAGCUUUUAAGAUAUCGGUAGGAGUUUUGAUGUGUUUUGGCAACAGGUAAAUUUCCCCCAACCAAGAGUAUUUUUCAAAAACCAAAAUAGUCACAGAACAUAAUCACUAAUAAGCUGAAACAUUAAAAUGUCACCAAACAUGGAGAAAACAUGUACUUUAUAUUGUAAUUUGGGUGGAGAGUCUAGCUUUUGUGGUCAUCCUGUUUUGACUUUGAACUAUUACAUGAAGGCACCUUAUAAACAGAUGGUUUGGAUGUUGAGUAUUCUGGAGAAUACUAAGGAAUGAUUUGGCAGAAAAUAAUUCAACAUUUUAAAAAGAACUUUCAUUUUAAAACCACUCAUUUUCCAUCUCUUUUCCUGUAACUUUCUCCUGUUGACUGAAAACAUCGCACUAAAUUUGUUGGCAAACCUAGAGAGAAUGGAACAUGGGUGUGGAAAACCACACCUUCCAUGAAAGAAGCACAAUGCUGCAAGAGAAAGAACCUGGAAAGUUCUUCAGUGUUCAAACUGUAUUUCCCUCUGCAUUUCCAACAGCAAGAAAAGCCCUGCUUAACUAGAACUUGGUUUGAAACUGAAAGAAGGAAAGUGUCUAUGAAAAGCAUUGCCACCAGACUCAGGUUUGGCUGCCCAUCACUCAGGAAUCACAUACUGAGAGACACAUGUUGGGUAAAAGGAAACAUACUCUAUUGAGACAGCCGGCCAUCCCGGGGAGAAGCUGGACUCAUGUCUCAAAGAACCAACUGCCAACUCCCCAGGUUUUGCUUGGAGAUUAUAUAGGAGGAAAUGGACAUUUGGGGGUGGGGGGGGGCUAAAUUUCUGUUUUCCGGAUGAUUGUGUUCAUCAUGAGAAUCAAGCAGCCAUCAAAUCAACCUUGCAGCUGGAACAUGCUCUGAGUUGUAAAUCUCUGCUUAGUGAGUCCUGAAGAGUAAGGGAUGAGCGUGAAGCCUGAAAUACAACUACUUUUCAGUCUUGGCAGGGAUCAGCAGCUUUCCUCAUUAGCAGCAAGCAAAACUCAGUUAAUGGUGAACUAGGGGAGAAGUCAGGCAUGGUGAACACAAGAUCGCAGCCAUAUUGCACCUAAGAAAUAGAGCUGGAAUACCACUGAGGAGCUGAGCAUCCCUAGUUAUAAUCCCCACUGUCAGAUUUUCCUUCCUUUUCUACGGAAAAGGGGCAAAGGUCCAUCUUCUGUGACUUCUUCAAGCUGAGCACAGGUGACGGAGGGUGCUUAGAGUGGGAGGAUCUGAUGUGGUGUAAGAAAUAUUCUUUGGGGGAGUUCCUGUUGUGGCUCAGUGGUAACGAACCCGACUAGUAUCCAUGAGGAUGCAGGUUUGAUCCCUGGCCCCACUCAGUGGGUUAAGGAUCCUGUGUUACUAUAGGUGUGGUGUAGGAUGGCCUCUGCAGCUCUGAUUCGACUCCCACAGGUGUGGCC
RNAcentral lists this long non-coding RNA (3401 nucleotides) under Sus scrofa (pig). Its description in RNAcentral is "lncRNA (ENSSSCG00005022896.1)". Lineage: Eukaryota; Metazoa; Chordata; Mammalia; Artiodactyla; Suidae. The record is from RNAcentral.